This is a non-coding RNA of Schistosoma haematobium, 45 nucleotides long. Lineage: Eukaryota; Metazoa; Platyhelminthes; Trematoda; Strigeidida; Schistosomatidae. The record is from Rfam.
AUUCAGCUGACGAAACCUAAACAGGCCGGAACGCGCGUCCUGGAU